UCCUUCGGGGCGGGGUGCGAUUCCCCACCGACGGUGAUGGCUCUUUUGAGAGCACAAGUCCGUGACCCGUAUGAUGCUUGAACCAAGCAUGUGCGGCUGAGCCGGUGAGAUUCCGGGACCGACAGUAUAGUCUGGAUGGGAGAAGGA
This 147-nucleotide non-coding RNA is filed under the name Paenibacillus senegalimassiliensis. RNAcentral's name for it is "FMN riboswitch (RFN element)". It matches the Rfam family "FMN riboswitch aptamer (RFN element)". Rfam says of the family: The RFN element is a highly conserved domain that is found frequently in the 5'-untranslated regions of prokaryotic mRNAs that encode for flavin mononucleotide (FMN) biosynthesis and transport proteins. This element is a metabolite-dependent riboswitch that directly binds FMN in the absence of proteins. The record is from RNAcentral. Lineage: Bacteria; Bacillati; Bacillota; Bacilli; Caryophanales; Paenibacillaceae.